This is a long non-coding RNA of Cottoperca gobio, 1998 nucleotides long. The record is from Ensembl. NCBI's taxonomy places the organism in Eukaryota, Metazoa, Chordata, Actinopteri, Perciformes, Bovichtidae.
AUGUUUUUGCAAUUUACGUUAUGUACUGUAUCUAUAAAAGUUCUUGUACUCUAUUUCCAGCUUGAAGACUCGUCAGCUUCCAUCUUUGAAAAUUCCUGCCCUGAUGAUGAUGACAACAAACUACCUGAUAGUGGACCAAGUCGUGGCAAUGACGAUUUGACCAACCUGAACAGUCAGCUGGAUUUUAUGGACAAGUCACCUUUUGCAGAUCUAGACUCUUCUCAAGAGAUGAUGGGGGCCUUUACGCUACAACCAAACGUUGCUUCAUGCACACAGCAGGAAGACGAGGCUUCAUUCAAGACUUAUGAACUCUGCUGGGAUGGAGACUACGGACCCAGCAAAGCUAUGCCAAACUCCAAGUACCCUUCUUGCACCAUUAAAAAUUAUUGUUAUGUUUGCAGUAAAGGCUAUACUAAAAUUUCUCGUCAUCUCCUAAAGCAUGCUGAUGAAGAGCCUGAUAUUGCUGAAGCUUUGGCAUUACCCAUAACCUCAAAGGAUCGAAAAAGGUUAUUUGAAGAAUUACGUAACAGGGGAAAUUACCAACAUAAUCAAGAGGUGUUGAAGAAAAACUGUGGAGAGUUAAAACUGAAAAGACGACCGACCACCUUGUUGGUCAGUCCUACAACACAUGUGCACUGUCUUCAUUGCAAAGGCAUGUUUUUACGUACGGAGUUGUGGAGGCACAUGGCCAGAUGUCCUUCUAGGACAACGUCAAUCUCUGCAACAGGCGGCAGGACAAAAGUCUUAAGUGAGAUUGUUCUUGCAGAGUCACCAUUCUCCAAAGCACUUCCAUCUGAUGUGUGGAAGAUGCUCACAACUAUGAGACCAGAUGAGAUUGCAUUUAUAAUUGUAAAUGAUUUCCUUCUAAUACAACUGGCAGAGUAUCUGUCCAAGAAGUAUCAAAAUAAUCUAAGAAAAGACGAUUACAUCAGACAGAAGCUGCGAGAAAUGGGAAGACUUUUGUUGGCACUGCAUGAAAAGUCGAUAUUUAGCUUUGAAGAUGCUAUCAAACCCAAAAACUUUUACAAAGUUGUUGAGGUUGUCAAGGACAUCACUGGUUUCGAUGUAAAGAUGCAGAGCUAUAACACACCAAGUCUUGCUUUGAAAUUAGGACAUUUACUGAAAACAAUAUGCACCUCUGUCCUCACGAGAGUUGAUGGCAAUGAGCAGAUGAUGAGAGACACAAAGACUUUCAUGAAACUGUGUGAAAAAGAAUGGUCUGAACUAGUCCCCCAAACAGCCCUCGCUUUGUUGAGUGGACGAAAACUAAACACGUCUCCCAUACCAUUCACACGUGAUGUGCAGAUGUUCUACAGCUACCUAGAAACAACAUCAGCUUCUGCCAUUGAAAGCAUGGAGAAGUAUGAAAGCCCUCAGGUCUACAAUGCUCUUUGUAGAGUGACACUUGCACAAGCAUCAGUCUUAAGCGAAUGUGCACCUGAGAUUUCAAAAAUGACACUGAAGACAUUCCAGGAGAGGGACGACUCUGCCCAAGUGUUGUCCAAGCACUUCAUCAGGAUGAAUACUCUGAGCAGAUCUAGCCAAAACGUUGCUGUCUUGUUGACCUCUGAACUUGUUAGUGCAAUAACUGUGCUUGUGAGCAAGAGAAAAUCAUGUGACAUACACAAAGACAAUCCUUUCUUGUUUGCAAAGCCUAAUUCUUCUCCUACAAGCCACUACCAAGGAAAGAGCUGUGUCAGGGCUUUUUCAAGUCUGUGUGGUGCAAAGAACCCAGAGCAUCUCAUGUCAGUGCAUCGUCACAAACAUCUUGCACGAGUCUUCCAGAUUCUCAACCUGGAGAGCGACGAGCUUGAGCACCUCGCUAAACUGUUGGGCCAUGACAUCCGAUCUGACAGGGACUAUUAUCGGCUGCCAGAGGCAGCUGUGGAACUUGCAAAAAUAGCCAAACUUCUUCUGGCAAUGGAAAAGGGUUCUCUUGGAAGAUUCAAAGGAAACUCUCUGGAUGAAAUUGAGAUUGAGGGUAGGAGUCCAGUGUGA